UGCUCCCGCCGGCGACCGGCGCACGGGUGAGUAACACGUAUGGAACCUGCCCGCCACAGGGGGAUAACCCGGGGAAACCCGGCCUAAUACCCCAUGCCGCCCGGACCGGGCAUCCGGUCCGGGCGAAAGGAGGAAUCCGGUGGCGGCUGGGCAUGUGGCGCAUUAGCUUGACGGCGGGGUAACGGCCCACCGUGGCGACGAUGCGUAGGGGUUCUGAGAGGAAGGCCCCCCACACUGGAACUGAGACACGGUCCAGACUCCUACGGAAGGCAGCAG
Molecule: ribosomal RNA, 276 nt
Filed under: uncultured bacterium
Lineage: Bacteria
Description: partial 16S ribosomal RNA
Rfam family: Bacterial small subunit ribosomal RNA
Source: RNAcentral